CAGAAAGGCGAUGUUGUCGAAUUGAGUCCGGCGGUCGGUAGCGGUUUCGACAUGGAUCUAAUCUCCCCACCGGAGAAAUAUCAAACGGUGCUCAUCUUCGCUACAUGAUCUGGAAUCAGUAAUCAAGAACUGAUGCAGGUGAAUUUAUCAACCUGCCAGCGUAAGAAGGAGCCCUUCCUCUCACUCCACGUAAUUAAGCUCGUCAACUCUCUCUCUCUCUAGUCUGACGAGUAUGUGUCUUUUGUUGCAGACGGCGAUCUCAAGCUCUUCGAAUCAAGGGCCAUAACAAGAUACAUCGCGCACGCGUACGCCGACAAGGGAACACCGAUGAUCUUGGAGGAUCCAAAGAAGAUGGAAAUCAUCGGAGUUUGGUCCGAGGUGGAAUCUCAGAGAUUCGACGCGGAGGGGCAGAAGCUGAGCUUCGAGAUUCUGGUAAAGCCGAUGAAGGGGAUGACGUGGGACCCACUUCAAAAUAAAUAAAUAAAAGAAACGGUGUCAAACAGCCGUUAUCACUAUGAGUUUAAAUGCACUCUUAUUCUAUCUAGACUAUGGGAGAGAUUUUUGCACCAAGGUCGAGAAUGAGAGGGUCAACGCUCUAAGAGUGUCUAUUUCAGGAGUUCCGCACCUUAAGGGCCAGUUUGAUUUCCUUGUUAUGGUUGUAUUACUUCCUUUACUGGGCUAAAAUCGUGUUUGAUUUCCAAGUAAAUUAAACAAGCAAGCCCAUGUAAAGGGGCAGGCCCGGCGCUAAAUCCUCGUUUUCUCAAGGAAACACAACCGAUGCUCCCCCCUAGUUAGCUAAUAUGGAGUUUCAAGUUUCAUUUUUUUUUCACAAAAUUGCCCCCAAUUCAUCCAUCUCUCUCUUCUUCUUCCUCUUUGGAGAAUCACGCACACACACCAAAUCAGAACACUCAUACGCACAAGCGGCGCCGCCCCCUUCUCGGCGAGAGCAACCACCGGUCAGCCUCAGUACUUCCUCGACUUCCCCUCUCUUCGGCGAGCAGCAGCGAAAGCCGCCAUCACCGGUCUCCCCCCAUUUGUUACAGUCGGACAACAACAGCUUUUUUCUUCACCAUCGCGAAAUCUCACAAAUUGCUGUAACUUUGUUGAGGUAUCAAUUUAUGCAAAUUUCCACUCUCUUGAGGGAGAGUUCUUUGUGACAUUGAUUAUUGUUAAUGCAAACAAAUUUUGGAGCGGAGGAUUAAUCAAGGAAAAAAGAAGAAGAAAAAGAUAAAUACAUAAUAGUGGGUUGCUUGGUGGACGAGAGAUUUUUUAAUAUUUUCACUCUCUUGGGCGGUGAUGGUGGUGACUGGUGGGUGGGUGGUGAAAGGGUUUUUUUCUUUUUCUUUUUCUUUUUAAUUAUGAAAGGUUAAUAAAAUAGGAUUAAUUCAGUAAU
This is a long non-coding RNA of Salvia miltiorrhiza (redroot sage), 1393 nucleotides long. RefSeq lists it as uncharacterized. The transcript has 3 exons. Lineage: Eukaryota; Viridiplantae; Streptophyta; Magnoliopsida; Lamiales; Lamiaceae. The record is from RefSeq and is a predicted model, not a curated record.